Molecule: ribosomal RNA, 417 nt
Filed under: uncultured microorganism
Description: bacterial SSU rRNA
Rfam family: Bacterial small subunit ribosomal RNA
Source: RNAcentral
GAGUUUGAUCGUGGCUCAGAUUGAACGCUGGCGGCAUGCCUUACACAUGCAAGUCGAACGGCAGCAUGAUCUAGCUUGCUAGAUUGAUGGCGAGUGGCGAACGGGUGAGUAAUACAUCGGAACGUGCCCUGUAGUGGGGGAUAACUAGUCGAAAGAUUAGCUACUACCGCAUACGACCUGAGGGUGAAAGUGGGGGACCGCAAGGCCUCAUGCUAUAGGAGCGGCCGAUGUCUGAUUAGCUAGUUGGUGGGGUAAAGGCCCACCAAGGCGACGAUCAGUAGCUGGUCUGAGAGGACGAUCAGCCACACUGGGACUGAGACACGGCCCAGACUCCUACGGGAGGCGAGCAGUGGGGAAUUUUGGACAAUGGGCGAAAGCCUGAUCCAGCAAUGCCGCGUGUGUGAAGAAGGCCUGGUG